This 237-nucleotide ribosomal RNA is filed under the name Glomeromycotina sp. RNAcentral's name for it is "partial small subunit ribosomal RNA". The stretch from base 40 to 237 matches the Rfam family "Eukaryotic small subunit ribosomal RNA", at positions 686 to 886 of the family's 1831-position model. Lineage: Eukaryota; Fungi; Glomeromycota. The record is from RNAcentral.
GGGUCAGUAGGUUGGUCGUGCCACCGGUACGUACUGGUCUCACUGAUUCCCCCUUCCUGAAGAGCCGUAAUGCCAUUAAUUUGGUGUUGCGGGGAAACAGGACUGUUACUUUGAAAAAAUUAGAGUGUUUAAAGCAAGCUAACGCUUGAAUACAUUAGCAUGGAAUAAUGAAAUAGGACGAUCGAUCCUAUUUUGUUGGUUUCUAGGAUUGACGUAAUGAUUAUAGGUAUAGUUGGG